AAUCUCAUGUGGCAUCCCAAAGGAGCUGGCCAAUGCAUGCCAAUGGUAGAAACCGAAGCCACAACUAAGAUUAGGGAAAAAAGAAAAAGGCACAGGGAAAGAUAAUGCAAUACAAUCAAAUAUGAAAUUAUGGAAAUAAUGCUUUCAUGUCCAACUACGAUUAUAAAAGCAUUUAGGAAGUAAGAGAGGCAACAAUAAAUAGUACAGAAAUCUAAACGGAAGCUAUCCUGCU
This 232-nucleotide long non-coding RNA is filed under the name Elaeis guineensis (African oil palm). Its description in RNAcentral is "long non-coding RNA (EGUI_LNC049127)". The record is from RNAcentral. Lineage: Eukaryota; Viridiplantae; Streptophyta; Magnoliopsida; Arecales; Arecaceae.